Molecule: ribosomal RNA, 253 nt
Filed under: uncultured bacterium
Lineage: Bacteria
Description: partial 16S ribosomal RNA
Rfam family: Bacterial small subunit ribosomal RNA
Source: RNAcentral
UACGUAGGGUGCGAGCGUUAAUCGGGAUUACUGGGCGUAAAGCGUGCGCAGGCGGCUCUUCAAGUCAGAUGUGAAAGCCCCGGGCUUAACCUGGGAAUGGCGUUUGAAACUGGAGGGCUGGAGUGUGGCAGAGGGAGGUGGAAUUCCACGUGUAGCAGUGAAAUGCGUAGAGAUGUGGAGGAACACCGAUGGCGAAGGCAGCCUCCUGGGCCAACACUGACGCUCAUGCACGAAAGCGUGGGGAGCAAAUAGG